AGUGAACGCUGGCGGUAGGCCUAACACAUGCCAGUCGAACGGCAGCACAGUAAGAGCUUGCUCUUACGGGUGGCGAGUGGCGGACGGGUGAGGAAUACAUCGGAAUCUACUUUUUCGUGGGGGAUAACGUAGGGACACUUACGCUAAUACCGCAUACGACCUACGGGUGAAAGCAGGGGAUCUUCGGACCUUGCGCGAUUGAAUGAGCCGAUGCCGGAUUAGCUAGUUGGCGGGGUAAAGGCCCACCAAGGCGACGAUCCGUAGCUGGUCUGAGAGGAUGAUCAGCCACACUGGAACUGAGACACGGUCCAGACUCCUACGGGAGGCAGCAGUGGGGAAUAUUGGACAAUGGGCGCAAGCCUGAUCCAGCCAUACCGCGUGGGUGAAGAAGGCCUUCGGGUUGUAAAGCCCUUUUGUUGGGAAAGAAAAGCAGCAGGUUAAUACCCCGCUGUUCUGACGGUACCCAAAGAAUAAGCACCGGCUAACUUCGUG
Molecule: ribosomal RNA, 492 nt
Filed under: uncultured bacterium
Lineage: Bacteria
Description: partial 16S ribosomal RNA
Rfam family: Bacterial small subunit ribosomal RNA
Source: RNAcentral